Molecule: ribosomal RNA, 483 nt
Filed under: uncultured bacterium
Lineage: Bacteria
Description: partial 16S ribosomal RNA
Rfam family: Bacterial small subunit ribosomal RNA
Source: RNAcentral
UUGAACGCUGGCGGCAGGCCUAACACAUGCAAGUCGAGCGGAUGAAGGGAGCUUGCUCCUGGAUUCAGCGGCGGACGGGUGAGUAAUGCCUAGGAAUCUGCCUGGUAGUGGGGGAUAACGUCCGGAAACGGGCGCUAAUACCGCAUACGUCCUGAGGGAGAAAGUGGGGGAUCUUCGGACCUCACGCUAUCAGAUGAGCCUAGGUCGGAUUAGCUAGUUGGUGGGGUAAAGGCCUACCAAGGCGACGAUCCGUAACUGGUCUGAGAGGAUGAUCAGUCACACUGGAACUGAGACACGGUCCAGACUCCUACGGGAGGCAGCAGUGGGGAAUAUUGGACAAUGGGCGAAAGCCUGAUCCAGCCAUGCCGCGUGUGUGAAGAAGGUCUUCGGAUUGUAAAGCACUUUAAGUUGGGAGGAAGGGCAGUAAGUUAAUACCUUGCUGUUUUGACGUUACCAACAGAAUAAGCACCGCCUAACUUCGUG